UAAGAAACAAAGGGCGUACAGUGAAUGCCUUGGUACCAAGAGCCGAUGAAGGACGCAACUAACGGCGAUACGCCGCGGGAAGCUGUAAGUAAGCGACGAUCCGCGGAUUUCCGAAUGGGGAAACCCACUACAGUGAAGCUGUAGUAUCCUUUUAUAGGGAGGGGAACGCAGGGAACUGAAAUAUCUAAGUACCUGUAGGAAAAGAAAGUAAAAACGAUU
RNAcentral lists this ribosomal RNA (219 nucleotides) under Alexandrium tamarense. Its description in RNAcentral is "partial Bacterial large subunit ribosomal RNA". It matches the Rfam family "Bacterial large subunit ribosomal RNA", at positions 1 to 236 of the family's 2925-position model. Lineage: Eukaryota; Dinophyceae; Gonyaulacales; Pyrocystaceae. The record is from RNAcentral.